Molecule: unclassified non-coding RNA, 4207 nt
Filed under: Hevea brasiliensis (rubber tree)
Lineage: Eukaryota; Viridiplantae; Streptophyta; Magnoliopsida; Malpighiales; Euphorbiaceae
Source: RNAcentral
GUUGGGGUGGGUGGUGGAGGGGGUAAACCGUAUCAAAAAUAGGCACUGUUCCGGUUAACUGGUGUAAUAUUCUGUCAUUUAUCACAGUUUGGUGCGGAUGAAAGAUGGCAAAUGAGGUAUUCUGAUGGCUUUGUAACCAUUUCUGUUAACCAUUUGAAAUAUGAAACACAAAUUAUCAUAAUUGGUGCAAGUCAAAAGUUUUCUUCGAGCAGCUGGUUGAAAGUAGACUUGUUAUUUGCUAUAAUACAAGAACCAAUGUGAAUGAAAUUGUUUGAAUGAUUUAUCCAAGAGAAGGCCAUUAAUAUGGAGUGCAACCACUAGUAAAAAUUCAAUGUUCCAGUGGAUUCCUUCUCAUCACAAUUAAUCUUUACUAAUCUAUGUAUUCUCCAGCCAAAAACUUGUGUUCCACAGGAAACUUCUGUUACAGGGUCAUGCAUGGGCUUGAUCUUCAGAUGAGCCACAAUGCAGAUAUGGAGAUCAACUGUCCAGCUAUACCUUAUUCAUUUUCCAACAACAGUGCACGGCAAAUAUUUACAAUGUGUGCUAAAGCUGAUGCACGUUCGAUUUACUUGAACCACAUGCGAAGUCUGGCUGAUCAACUGAUUGUAUCACAAGCUCAGGAUGAUGCGAUUCUAACUCGAGAAUGACCAGAACAUUUUCUCCAUGGCGAAGGAUUGGAGCAGGGACAUAGAGGGUGCACUGUGGCCCAAAAGACGGCCAAUAUCUUCCAAUGUUAAAAUCAUUUACAAAUGCAAUUCCUUUACCCCAGCCACUGAAUGAUAUGAAUGUAUCCUUAACUUGGUUGACUUUUUCUAUAGAAAAAUGGGCUGUGUAGAAUGCUGGUUCUUUUGAAAUAGUCUCAGAGUUAUCUUCUAAUUUUGUAACAAUUCUGGAAUGUGAAACCUGAGUGAUAAGAUUGUUUUUCGGCACCUCAUUCAGGUUGUUGAAAGGAAUUGAAAUCAUUUUCCAUCCAUGCAAAAUUCUUCCAUCAAGAUAAACAGAAGACAAAAUUCCCUUCCUAUCAAACAUGUAUGGUCCAUAAUUUACACGGCCCAUGUUUUCAACCAAAACAAAUAAGCUGAUGUUGGAGGCACAUUUGGUAUUAGGAAGGAUGAGUUUUACAUUUGACCACCUUUCAAUUGUACCAAUAUACGUUGGCCUUCCGCCCUUGUCAUCAGAAGAGCAUAAUACAAACACUUGAGCUCUGUCAUGCACCUGGAACACAUUAAAGAAGUCAAAUUGUGUCAAGCAUUUACUAAACUAAUAGAUGGAUAUGUGACUCAGACUGCAUUUCAAAGAGUUCUCUGAUAUUGCAAUACCCUUAUCAAAACAUAGAAAAGAAUGUCAAAGUUACUUAACUACAAGGAAAGGCAUCAGACAUUCAGAUUAGUAAAUCUAAAAUAGUUUCUAUACCUUUGGUAUGAACAAACUGCUUCCAUCAUCCUUUGAAGUAUAUUCAGAAACAUAAACUAUAAAUCCGAACAUCUGAACAUACAAGAGGAAAAAAAAUAAGAAGCAACCUUGGAUUAUUGAUUCACUAUGGAUAGGUGCAGUCUUUUAACACUACAUGUGAUGAGACAAAAGCUAACACCUGUCCCACAGACUCCAUUGAGACGGGGUUUCUGGAUUCAACCACAUCAGCAGGAUUAAUCAUAUCGAUUAAAUCAAACAAAAAUGCUGUUUUCUGUAACUGAAUAGCUCCAUGUCCAGUCUUUUCAUUAUUAGGAAUAACUGAGGGAAGAGAUGUUGCACUAUGACGCCCAAUAACACUCUUCAAUGCUGAAAGAAAUAAAUAUUCAUAAAUAGAAUUAUCUUGCAGGAAUUAUGCAAGUUAAAAGAGAGAUUCAAGACAACCAUCAUCAUAGAUAAAUCUGACACAUCAGAUGAAACACUAAGAAGCCAUGAAGAAGUGAAGCAAACUAGGAGCAUAUGGCCAUUACCAAAAACAUACCCUCAGAAUCAAGAUGCUCUCGAGAGUAGCAAUUUCUAUGAGGAUAACUGCCAGUCAGGCCACAAAUCAAUAGUAGGAUAACUCACACAACUCUGAUACACUUAAAAAAUGCCUGCUUUCUAUGUUUUAUGAGCAAGUAAUAUCAUAUCUGCAUUUUCAGUGGAUCUCCAUAUCUAAGUAGCAAGCAAUUGAAACAAUAAGAAACAGAAGCCUUUCAUAAAACCAACAGCAACAUUAAGCAAGUCAUAUUAUUAAGAAACCAUACAUGUUAUAUGUCGUUUUAUCAUCCCUCAAGUCACUAGGCUAUUACUACCAAGACAGAAAGUUAGCAACCAAACUGUGGGUAUGUUGGCAUGGCUAUUGCACGAAGUCUAGCACCAAAAGUGCAAUCUGAGUUAGAGAACUAAUAGCUAUUUGCAAAAACUUUAAAUAUGAAUAUUUUUCAAAAUCAGCUUUUGGCAUAUCACAUAUGAAAUCAAAUUGUAAAAAACUAUUGUCUAUAACCCAAGAGAAUUCUUACUAACAUUUUGUCCAAAAGUUGCUAUUAGCAACAACAAUGCCAGCAUGCUUUAUAUUUAUUUUAAACAAUCACAAUCAAAAUUUCAGCGCAUUGUUGUUAAUUAGGGGAGGAUAGGUCUAAAGACUCAAUUUUAAGCAAUGGCUUUAUUGCAAAUAAAUAAAUGAAGAACAAAUACCAUUGAAUUUUGCAUUAUCCACAUCACCAGAUUCCUUAAUUGGUGCAUCCUAGCCAAAACCAAUAUGAUAUCAGUUUGUUGUAUACAGUUUAUUGCAGAAAUUCAGUAUAUGAUAUCCACAAAAACAAAGUUAACAAUAUUCUCACAUAAUCAUAGGAAGUGAUAUCAGGCUUGUAAGUGUACUCAUCAGCAUUGGUAUUUGCUCCAUUAUAAAAUCCAAAAUUUGUUCCACCAUGUGCCAUCUGGACAUUAAAAUCCAGAUUAUAGCAUUACCAUAUACACCAUUGCCUUUGGAUCGGCAAAAGGUUGUAACUUACGGACAUACAUAAAGCACAGCAGAACCAUUUUGUGAGAAAAUUUUUUCCAAGGCAGACGCUGUAAAAUCAGCUCCUGUACGUUGAAGAUCCUCUCCCCAGUGUGUCAGCCAACCUGUAUAGAAUUCCGCAGAAAGUGGUGGUGAUUUCCCUGGGGCAUUGAACUCCUUCUGUAACUUGAAAAUAGGUGAGGGAUCUUCACCAGUGGAGAAAUCAACAGCUGAAAAUACCGCAUCCCCACGAAUGGUUCCUUUCUCAAGAGUUUCCCUAGUACCCCCAUCUGUAGUAUACAAAACUAUGUUCUCCCCAAGAUGUUCUUGAGCCAAUUUGACCAGGUGAUGAAGAUAAGCUUGGUCAUCCCCGUAUGAACCAAAUUCAUUUUCAAUCUGAAUCAUUAUAAUAGGACCUCCGUUAUUAUAAAGAAGAUGGGCUACCUUUGGUAGUAGGAUUCCCCACCAUUUGUCUACCAAUUUAAGAUAGGCAGGGUCAGAUGAUCUCAAUUUGAGAGCUGGUUCUAUGGCUAAUAACCAGGCAGGGAACCCUCCUAAAUCCCACUCUGCGACAAACACAACAAUUCCACUGAUAGUUUGUGGUGUGGCUUCACAGAUAAUAAUAUUGAAUUCAAAAACUGUUAAAUUUGAUAGUUAGCAUUGACCUGCACAAAUAUAAGGCCCAGCUCGAAGCAUAACAAGGAAAUCCAGCUUUUGGCAGAGUUUGAGAAAAUAAACUAGAUCAGCAAUACCCUCAAAAACCAAGUUGCCAGGUUGCGGUUCAUGCAGAUUCCAAGGAACAUAAGUUUGAAUGGUAUUCAAACCCAAAGCCUUUGCUCUCAACAGCCUAUCUUCCCAAUACUUCAUCGUGAAAACAAACCCAUCAAGUUACCAAAUUACAACAAAAUGAACAUUCCAUUGAAUCAUCAUAUACCCAAUUUACUGAAAUUUCACAAGAGAAAGUAGAGUAGAGAAUACCUCAGGAAGAAUUCGGAAGUAGUGCAAAUCACCACCAAUGAUCCGGAAAGGCUUACCAUCUUUCAAGAACAUGUCAUCCGCAAUCUCGAAGCUUCGAGCAUUGGCUGCGAAGACCUUCCUGUGGCGAUGAGAGUGAGAGGAAGAGGAGAGAGAAGGGAGAGGAGCAAAGACUGGAACGAAGGCUCCAAAUGCUAUGAUUGAGAUGAAUAGAAGAAACAGCGUCGUGGGGCCUCUCCUUCUCGCCAUUUUUGUAGUGAAUUUGGAGAUUAGAGUAGAAGU